AGCUUUGCGCAGUGGCAGUAUCGUAGCCAAUGAGAUUUAUCUGAGGCGUGAUUAUUGCUAAUUGAGAAAAUAAAGAAUACG
This 81-nucleotide small nuclear RNA is filed under the name Saimiri boliviensis boliviensis (Bolivian squirrel monkey). RNAcentral describes it as "U4 spliceosomal RNA (ENSSBOG00000001642.1)". It matches the Rfam family "U4 spliceosomal RNA". From Rfam's summary of the family: U4 small nuclear RNA (U4 snRNA) is a component of the major U2-dependent spliceosome. The structure of U4 snRNA from yeast and human has been reported. The record is from RNAcentral. Lineage: Eukaryota; Metazoa; Chordata; Mammalia; Primates; Cebidae.